Molecule: RNA transcript, 1082 nt
Organism: Carya illinoinensis
Lineage: Eukaryota; Viridiplantae; Streptophyta; Magnoliopsida; Fagales; Juglandaceae
Exons: 5
Source: RefSeq, a predicted model, not a curated record
UUAUCUUGACGCACAUCCUCUAUUUAUAGACUGCCACGUUUCCAUAGAAAGUAGAAACAGAGAGUCGUAGAAAAUGGCAGCAUCAGUAGCAAAAGGAGCGUCUCUCAGCCACAUAUCCAGAGAAUCCUCAGACAUCAGACGCCUCGCCAACUUCUACAAGGAGAUUUUUGGGUUUGAGGAGAUAGAAAGCCCAGACUUCUUGGAGUUUAAGGUGAUAUGGUUGAAUCUGGCUUCCGUUCAAAUCCACCUCAUCGAGAGGAACCCUAGCUCGAGGCUUCCAGAAGGUCCCUGGAGCGCCACGUCACCCGUCGCCGACCCCAGUCAUCUCCCCAGAGGUCACCAUAUCUGCUUCUCCGUCUCCAAUUUCGAAUCUGUCGUGCGAGCUCUUAAGGAAAAGGAAAUCAAAGUUUUUGAGAGAUCUCUUCCUGAUGGGAAGGUUAAGCAAGUCUUCUUCUUUGAUCCUGAUGGUAAUGGACUGGAGAUUGGAAGUCUGGCUCCAGAGAAAUAAACAGGGAGCUCCAGAGUGGAAUUUCUUUUCAGACCAUAAGUUGCAGAGAAUGUUAAGAUCUUUGGCGAGAAAUGCGGAUGCUUACUUUCUACGAGAGUUUCAACAGCUUUCCAUGACUUUCCUUCGCUCUUUAAGCUUCUUGUCUCUUCACCGUCAGUGGUGGGGGACUGGUGGCUUAUGCUGAGGCAAACCCAACUACUGGGGCAUUAGCCGUUGCAUCUUCUCAAUCAGAGUACAAGAAAAAGGUGGUGGUACUUGGAACUGGUUGGGCUGGAACAAGUUUCUUGAAGAAUCUAAUGAACCCCUCAUAUGAGAGGUACAAGCAGUAUCAUCUCGUAAUUAUUUUGCAUUCACCCCUUUGCUACCAAGUGUGACGUGGUACAAUGGAAGCUCGUAGCAUUGUUGAGUUGAUUCGCAACAUUGUUCGAAAGCAGAAAAAUGUAGACGUUCAAUUCUGAGAAGCAGAGUGUUACAAGAUUGAUGUAAAAAACAAGAAAAUUUAUUGUCAAUCUGCUCAAAACAAAAAUUUGAACGGGAAAGAAGAAUUUGUUAUGGACUUAUGACUACCUUGUAA